GGUUAAGCGACUAAGCGUACACGGUGGAUGCCCUGGCAGUCAGAGGCGAUGAAGGACGUGCUAAUCUGCGAUAAGCGCCGGUAAGGUGAUAUGAACCGUUAUAACCGGCGAUUUCCGAAUGGGGAAACCCAGUGUGACUCGUCACACUAUCAUUAACUGAAUCCAUAGGUUAAUGAGGCGAACCGGGGGAACUGAAACAUCUAAGUACCCCGAGGAAAAGAAAUCAACCGAGAUUCCCCCAGUAGCGGCGAGCGAACGGGGAGGAGCCCAGAGCCUGAAUCAGCAUGUGUGUUAGUGGAAGCGUCUGGAAAGGCGCGCGAUACAGGGUGACAGCCCCGUACACAAAAGCGCAUGUGCUGUGAGCUCGAAGAGUAGGGCGGGACACGUGGUAUCCUGUCUGAAUAUGGGGGGACCAUCCUCCAAGGCUAAAUACUCCUGACUGACCGAUAGUGAACCAGUACCGUGAGGGAAAGGCGAAAAGAACCCCGGCGAGGGGAGUGAAAAAGAACCUGAAACCGUGUACGUACAAGCAGUGGGAGCCCCACCACUAAGCCAGUGGUGAACUCCACAUACGCAUCCUUUGCUGAGGAUACGGUUAACGGAGCGCAAGCGACGUUCAACCGCAAAAGAAGCAGAGGGGGCUUAGUGGUGGGGUGACUGCGUACCUUUUGUAUAAUGGGUCAGCGACUUAUAUUCUGUAGCAAGGUUAACCGAAUAGGGGAGCCGGAGGGAAACCGAGUCUUAAU
Molecule: ribosomal RNA, 746 nt
Filed under: Salmonella enterica
Lineage: Bacteria; Pseudomonadati; Pseudomonadota; Gammaproteobacteria; Enterobacterales; Enterobacteriaceae
Description: partial 23S ribosomal RNA
Rfam family: Bacterial large subunit ribosomal RNA
Source: RNAcentral